RNAcentral lists this long non-coding RNA (521 nucleotides) under Apteryx rowi (Okarito brown kiwi). Its description in RNAcentral is "lncRNA (ENSARWG00000005688.1)". The record is from RNAcentral. Lineage: Eukaryota; Metazoa; Chordata; Aves; Apterygiformes; Apterygidae.
AUGGAAGGAAACUUGAGUAUGUUCAAGAUUCAUGUUUCUAAUCUGUAAAUAUCAGAAUUGUUAACUUGCUAAAUUAUUUUUUUUUUUGCAUUUUUGUAACUGGAUUUAAAUGACCACCUGGAAUAAUAUUGAUCAUAUACUUGACGUGAAGCAUCUAGAAUGUAAGAUAUGCCUACAUAAAGCUGAUUCAUAAACUGGGAUUGCUCCCCAGAGAAGUUUAUAAGAAGAAGGUUGUCUGGGAACCAGUUGUCUAGAGACUUCUGGUUAUUCAGGGAUUUUGAAGGAGUAGGGUCCACAACAGGGAAGGAGCUAUCAGUCAGAAGGGUCCUUACCUCAUGGCUGCUGUGUGCUCUUCUGCCAUGGUCUGUACCAGGCUCAGACCUGAGGAAACCAGCUCACCUGCUUUUAUGCUAGCUGUGCUCAGAAGCUCCCAGACUGACCGUCGUCCAUGCAGAGUCAUUCUCCUUCCUUCUACAUCUCUUUAUGGCAUUGAUCAUCCAGUGAAGUCAAGUUGCCUUUAA